Molecule: unclassified non-coding RNA, 21 nt
Filed under: Chlamydomonas reinhardtii
Lineage: Eukaryota; Viridiplantae; Chlorophyta; Chlorophyceae; Chlamydomonadales; Chlamydomonadaceae
Description: small RNA Cre_2402
Source: RNAcentral
UAUGGGUUGGGAGGCCGCCGC